This 301-nucleotide ribosomal RNA is filed under the name uncultured bacterium. RNAcentral describes it as "partial 16S ribosomal RNA". It matches the Rfam family "Bacterial small subunit ribosomal RNA", at positions 509 to 807 of the family's 1533-position model. The record is from RNAcentral.
CAGCAGCCGCGGUAAUACGAAGGGUGCAAGCGUUACUCGGAAUUACUGGGCGUAAAGCGCACGCAGGCGGUCUGACAAGUCAGAUGUGAAAUCCCCGGGCUUAACCUGGGAACUGCAUUUGAAACUGUCAGGCUGGAGUCUUGUAGAGGGGGGUGGAAUUCCAGGUGUAGCGGUGAAAUGCGUAGAGAUCUGGAGGAAUACCGGUGGCGAAGGCGGCCCCCUGGACAAAGACUGACGCUCAGGUGCGAAAGCGUGGGGAGCAAACAGGAUUAGAUACCCCGGUAGUCCCUGUCUCUUAUAC